CCUACGGGUGGCAGCAGUGAGGAAUAUUGCACAAUGGGGGAAACGCUGAUGCAGCGACGUCGCGUGAGUGAAGAAGUAUUUCGGUAUGUUAAGCUCUAUCAGCCGGGAAGCAAAGGGCGGUACCUGAUUCAGAAGCCCCGUCUAACUACGAGCCAGCAGCCGGAGUGAUACGUAGGGGGCAAACGUUAUCCGGAUUUACUGGGUGUAAAGGGAGCUUAGACGGCAGAACGAGUCCGGAGGGAAAUGCCGGGGCUUAAACCCGGAACUGCUUUGGAAACUGUGCAGCUAGAGUGAAGGAGAGGUAAGUGGAAUUCCUAGUGUAGCGGUGAAAUGCGUAGAUAUUAGGAAGAACCCCAGUGGCGAAGGCAGCUUACUGGACUGUAACUGACGUUGAGGCUCGAAAGCGUGGGGAGCAAACAGGAUUAGAUACCCGAGUAGUC
RNAcentral lists this ribosomal RNA (440 nucleotides) under uncultured bacterium. RNAcentral describes it as "partial 16S ribosomal RNA". It matches the Rfam family "Bacterial small subunit ribosomal RNA", at positions 338 to 795 of the family's 1533-position model. The record is from RNAcentral.